This 253-nucleotide ribosomal RNA is filed under the name uncultured bacterium. RNAcentral describes it as "partial 16S ribosomal RNA". It matches the Rfam family "Bacterial small subunit ribosomal RNA", at positions 524 to 776 of the family's 1533-position model. The record is from RNAcentral.
GACGAACCGUGCGAACGUUGUUCGGAAUCACUGGGCUUAAAGGGCGCGUAGGCGGGUUCCCAAGUCCGGGGUGAAAUCUUUCGGCUCAACCGGAAAAUAGCCUUGGAUACUGGGAGUCUCGAGGGAGGUAGGGGCAGCGGGAACUUCCGGUGGAGCGGUGAAAUGCGUUGAUAUCGGAAGGAACGCCGGUGGCGAAAGCGCGCUGCUGGACCGCUGCUGACGCUGAGGCGCGAAAGCCAGGGGAGCAAACGGG